Molecule: ribosomal RNA, 465 nt
Filed under: Vreelandella stevensii
Lineage: Bacteria; Pseudomonadati; Pseudomonadota; Gammaproteobacteria; Oceanospirillales; Halomonadaceae
Description: partial 16S ribosomal RNA
Rfam family: Bacterial small subunit ribosomal RNA
Source: RNAcentral
CCUACGGGGGGCAGCAGUGGGGAAUAUUGGACAAUGGGGGGAACCCUGAUCCAGCCAUGCCGCGUGUGUGAAGAAGGCCCUCGGGUUGUAAAGCACUUUCAGUGAGGAAGAACGCCUGGUGGUUAAUACCCAUCAGGAAAGACAUCACUCACAGAAGAAGCACCGGCUAACUCCGUGCCAGCAGCCGCGGUAAUACGGAGGGUGCGAGCGUUAAUCGGAAUUACUGGGCGUAAAGCGCGCGUAGGUGGCUUGAUAAGCCGGUUGUGAAAGCCCCGGGCUCAACCUGGGAACGGCAUCCGGAACUGUCAAGCUAGAGUGCAGGAGAGGAAGGUAGAAUUCCCGGUGUAGCGGUGAAAUGCGUAGAGAUCGGGAGGAAUACCAGUGGCGAAGGCGGCCUUCUGGACUGACACUGACACUGAGGUGCGAAAGCGUGGGUAGCAAACAGGAUUAGCUACCCUGGUAGUC